RNAcentral lists this long non-coding RNA (15158 nucleotides) under Nicotiana tabacum (common tobacco). RNAcentral's name for it is "long non-coding RNA (NTAB_LNC006924)". Lineage: Eukaryota; Viridiplantae; Streptophyta; Magnoliopsida; Solanales; Solanaceae. The record is from RNAcentral.
ACUUUACCCAUCAGGUCCCUACCCUGAAGAAGCUAGAAACCACGCUCCAUUCUCCUCUCAAAAGAGAUGAAACUUGACCCCUUCUCCUUCACUCUGUCAACGGCGCACCCCUCUCCAUUUUUCAACAAGAGACGAACCUUAUUGUUCUGCCUUUUGAUUUGUUUCAAGCUUAAUUUUCGAAGCUGUAGUGCUAAUGUCAAUGUUGAUGGGAAAAUUGUGAAUUUGGGUCUCUGGAAUACUGCUUAAAAUCGGCUGGGACUGACAUGGUCAUGGUUGCUGCUGUUAUUUUGUUGAAGGCUUGUAACUGGGUUUUCAUUUUUAUAGCUAUUGUUUCUUGCCUUCAUUUGACUCACUCUAGUGCUGUCUUCCGUUCGAUUUAGGUAAGUUCCGAAUCUUACUUGUAUUACAUCUGUAUUGAGUGAUUGAAUUGUUAAAUCUCUUAUGUGAUUUUACGGAUUUGCUUGAGUUUCACAAUCAAAUGUCCAGCAAUGUGUGUGGUGUUUUAAUUUGGGAAAAUACUGAAAAUAGUGAAAUAGAUUAAAAUGACACCUACAUGGGUUAAUUUCCAAUUCUUAAUUUCGGUUGGAAUACUGUUAUUGUUUGUUUGACUAUUCUAAGUUCAAUUGCAUUUUUUUAGUUUGAAACUAGGUACAGUAAAUAAAAUUCCCAUGUGAAGCCAUUUUUGAGAUAUGCGAAUUUUACUCAUAAUUUUAAACUUGGUUGAUCUUACGCAAGGCUACAUUUCUGUUGUGAGUUUAAGAAGAUUAAGGAAGCUAGUGGUGCUAUUGUGCUUACAGCUUAGGUUUGGUUUUAUUAGUUGCGCCUUUUGAGGCUUUUUGUUAAAGUCAUUGCUUUCAAUUAGCCAAUGGAGUAUUUAAACCUUGGGAUUUACUGCUUUGAAAUACAUUUGAGAUGUUUCAGUGUAUUGGGAUGUUGACUGUUAAAUCGCCUAUUGAUACAAAUUAGCAUAUAUUUUGAAUGCUUUUGGCUGUUAGUUUCAUGAUAAAAAAUGGGAGCCAUCUUUUCUCCUCCAAAAUAUGAAACCAGCGGCAGACUUUGAGAAUUGCUAAACAAAGAGAAAAAAAGCAAAUCUUAAAAAUUCCAAAGCUAAGAAGUCGUUUGCAGCAAACAAAAAAAAAGGCAAAGUUAUCAUGUAAGAUCUUUGAAGCAUACAGUUUCACAUUAGGCUACUAACAUGUACAGUAACAUCUAAUGUAAGGCAAAAAUGAAAUAAUUUUAGUAAUAUAAACAAAGUGUGUCGUCUCAUUAAGAUGCGAAAUAUGUUGUUGGGAUUAAUUAGCUUUAGAAAAAUAAUUAAUUAAUAUCGUAGUUUGCUUUAGGCGUGAUUAAUAAACUAUUGUAACUAUGGGUACAGUUCCCGUGGCAUGGGUGCCUAAUUCCAAAAUUCGGGGGUGCAUUUCAUGUAACUCGAUUAUAAUAACUUCGAAUAAGAAAAACCCUUUGAAAUAAUUUGAAGCGUGCCAUGCCAAAUAAAAUCCCUAAACUCAUGGCCCUCAUUUAAUUAAUUUUAAUCCUUUAGAAAUCGAGGUGUGCCAUUUAGCUGAAUUUUCCAUGGCCCUCGCAAACUUGAAAUGCGUAGUUGCUUUAGGCGCGCUAUUUAAAUUAAUUUCCUUAAACUCGGGUGUGCAUUUCAUGUGACCCAAAUCCAAAUCUCAACAAUGUUAAAUAAAAUGUGUCGUGGACUGCGGGUGCAUUUCAUGUAGCGUAGUUCAAGACGUGUUUUAGAUAAUGUUGAAUCUUCCUAAAAUAAGUUAAAAUGUACCAUAUGCUGAAACAUGUAUUAAAAUCAGAUAAUAGGCCAAUUAUAAUAGUUUAAGCAACCGUGCUAGAACCACGGAAUCCGGGGGUACCUAACACCUUCCCUCGGGUUAACAGAAUUCCUUAUUUAGAAUUUCUGGUUCGCAGGUUUCAAAAGGAAAGUCGAAAUUUCCUCGAUUUGGGAUUUGAAAUAAAUCGGUGACGUGAGACACCAAAUAAACUAUCCCAAGUGGAGACUCUGAAUUGAAUAAUUAAUCCUAUUUCGGAUAAUGUCACUUAAAUUGGAAAAACUCCGUUGUAUACCUCUCGAGGUUUAAAAAGGAGGUGUGACAGCUGCGAGGAAACAACAAGUAACAAAAGGAAAACAACAUAUAAAUGUAAAGAACACCAUAAUUCAAUUAUCAACAAGAAUCGAAAAUCCAAGACAAGUGCACGACAUCACCCUUCGUGCUUUUACUCUCGUCCUCACUAUAAGAAUCAAUAUAAUCUGCACGACAUCACCCUUCGUGCAUUUAUUCCCGUCCUCACCAUAAAAAAAAUCAAUAUAAUCGGUACGGCAUCUCCCUUCGUGCUUUUACCUCACAUAAUCAUGGCACGGAAUGAUCCUUCGUGAAUUGUCACUCAUAUCAUGGCACGGAAUUGUACAUCGUGCGGUACGACAUCACUCUUUGUGCAUUAACACUCUCUCACAAUAUCGGCACGGCAUCACCCUUCGUGCAUUAACACUCUCUCAUAAAUAUCAUGCACGAUAUCACCCUUCAUGCUUUAACACUCUUCCUUACCCAAAAAAUAAUCACAAAGAAAUAAGGGCAAGGGAAUCAAUAAAAUCACAAUAAAAUUUCGGCAAGGGAACAAUAGUAUAACAACAAUAUCCCGGCAAGGGAAACAAUAUCAUAAAUAAUAACGUCCCCGCAAGGGAGAUAAUAUCAAAAGCAACAACAUUCCGACAAGGGAGACAAUAUCAUAAACCUCUUCUCUUUCCCACAUUUACUUCACAACUCUAUUCACAACUUAAGCCAAUGCUCUACAAUGUUCAAUUGCCAAUAAUAUUUCCACAAAUCAUUUUACAACUUGAGCCAACGCUCUUCAAUGUUCAACUACCAAUAAUACUUCCACAAGCCUUGUUCAAUAAUCGAAAUCUUCAUAUAAAGCAUGAACAAUACGAAACAGAGUCAUAUUAACCAUAGUAUAAAAUUCAUGGGCAUGCUUGACACCAUCGUAUAGAUACUCAUCACCAUGCCUAUACGUCGUACUCAAUAAUUAAACAUAGCAAAUAAGACACGACUCCUAAUCCCUCAAGCUAAGGUUAGACCAAACACUUAUCUUGAUGCCACGAACACAAUUCAAUCCUCAACUACCGCUUUACCUCUUGUUUCCACCACCAAUUCGCUUGUAUCUAGCCACAAUUUACUCAACGAUAUCAAUAAAUGCUAAAUGAAUCAAUUCUAAUGCAUGAAAAUAGGUUUUAUAAAGAUUUCCCCAAAAUGUCAAAAAUUAACCCUAGACCCACAUGGUCAAAACCCGAAGUUCGAACCAAAACUCGAUUACCCAUGAACCCAAAUAUAUAAUUUGUUUUGAAAUCGGACCUCAAAUCGAGGUCCAAAUCCCAAAAAUUUGAAAAAACCUAAGUUCUACCAAAAAUAACAAAUUUCCCUCAUGAAAACCCUUGAUUUUGAGUUGAAAUCAUAUGAAAAAAUGUUAAAGAUUAAUGAAAACGAGUUAGAAAUGACUUACAAUCGAUUUGGAAGAGUAGCUGUCUUUGAAAAAUUGCCCAAAGGUGUUUAGGUUCUGAGAAAGUUUGAAAAAUGAGAGAUUUUCGGCUAAGUCGUGAUUUACACAGGCGCAGAUAUCGCAAUUGCGAAGCCUGGUUCGCAAAUGCAAACUCGCAAUUGUGGCCAAAGCUUCGUAAUUGCGAAGGAUGGCCUAUGUCUGCUUUCUUCGCAAAUGCGAACAAUGUUCGCAAUUGCGGUGCCUGUCAAGGUCGCAUUUGCGACAUAAGCUAAUAUGAAGGUUCCCUAUCCAGCCAGUCUUCGAAAAUGCGAGGGGUUUUUCGCAAAUGCAGGCUCGCAAUUGCGAGCCAGGCUUGCGAAGCAUGCAGAUCUGCAAUAUACCAGCAGUUUUUCCUAAGUUCAAAACACUCUGUGGCCUAUCCAAAUAUCAACCGAGCCCUCGGGGCUCCAAACCAAACAUGCACGCAAGUCCAAAAAUAUCAUAUGGACUUGCUCAUGCAAUCAAAUCAUCAAAAUAACAUCAAUAACUAUGAAUUUAGCAUCAAAAUCAAAAACAAAUCUCAUGAACUCUUAAGUUCCAAUUUUAACAACCGAUGGUCUGAUUCACGUCAUAUCAAGUCCGUUUCUUACCAAAUCUUACAGGCUCGACUUAAAUACCAUAUAAGACCUGUACCGGGCUCCAGAACUAAAAUACGGUCCCGAUACCAUCAAAUUCAAACAUAUUUAAAUUUUUGAAAACUCUUAUAAUUUCAGUCAAACAAUUUUCUUCAAAAAUUUAUUUCUCGGGCUUGGGACUUCGGAAUUCGAUUCCGGCCAUACGCCCAAGUCCAUAUUUUCCUACGGACCCUCAGGGACCGUUAAAUCACGGGUCCGGGUCCAUUUACCCAAAAUGUUGACCGAAGUCAACUUAAAUUCAUUUUAAAAGCAAAAUUUAUCAUUUUUCACAGAUUUCCACAUAAUAGCUUUUCGGAUACACGUCCGGACUACACACGUAAUCCGAGGUGAGACAAAAGGGAGGUUUUAAGGCCUCAAAAUAUAGAAUUUAUUUCUAAAAUAAGUGAUGACCUUUUGGAUAAUCACAAAAAGCAACCCUUAGGCUUUAUGGUCGAAUGAGGACUUGCUCGAACUCGAGAUAAGGUGGCCCUUGGGCUCGAUAGAUAGUCCAUGAGUGAGAAUUUUUUCUAACUUGGGUUAAGGUAGCCCUUAGGCUUUGUAUUUUUGCUUUCUUUUGUAUCUUUUUCGAGGCCACUUUGUUACGGGUUUCAGGCAUCUCCGAGCCGUGUUAAAUUGGCCGUAGCUUCUUGGUUCGGGUGUAGCCCAGUGAGCUUGCUACCCUAAGUUAUCCAGGUUUGCCUAAGAUAAUAGUCCCCGAGUGGAUAUGGUUGUGGCUUCUAAAAUUCGAGGGUUGCCUAAAAGAUCUGAUGCCCUCGACGCUCAAUAGUUUGAUAUGUUCGAGUUUUAUUUUUCGGACGGUAUUCCCCGAGUGUGGGGUGAAUAUCCGAACUUUGUUUUAGAUCGGCCCUUAGGCUCGUUUCCACAAUAGAUUGAAAGUAUUGAAUUGUAAAGUAAAAGAACUUUUUCUAAGACAUGAAAUAACUGCAAGGAAAAAUACUCCUAUUUAUUCUUGUGAAAAAUGAUUACACAUGCAUAUAUUUUUUAGCCAGGGCUCGAACAACCUAUCUGGGUACGGUUCAUUCAACCUUUUGGCCCUAUCAAGAUUCCAUCAUUUUGAAGUAAUUUCCUCGCAACAAAGUUGACAUCCAAAGGCAAUGCCCCCAGUAUUCGAGGUUUAUUGUAAGGAACCUCGAAUACUGUUAAAUGUUGUCUUUGACACCGAUUCUUGGUCGGCCUUCGAUUCUAAGUUAGCACGAUCCGUUGUUGCCUCGUUAAAAAACUUGCUGAAAAAUCCAAUUGGGACAAAAACGGUUCAAGGAAAAAAGAGUGCAAUGCGUGCUUUAAGACCUAAAGCUUUGUGUCGCUCCUUGUCGAUAACCUGCAAGUGUCUGUCGAAAAAUAGAAAGAAUUGAAAUGGGGUCGUACCUUCAUUUGGAUUUCGAAUGUUUAAUGUGACCUUCCUCAGUACCAAGUCCCCGUGAACUUUGAACUUGAUCAUUUCUCCUUUCAUUUUGUGUAGUAUUUCGCCCAAACCCCCUGCCUCUAAGGUCUUCGUUAUACGGUUGAUAUCGAUCUCUAUUAGACCUUGGUUCUCGGUUGAUAUCCCUCUUGAUUCUCUCCAUGGGCCUAUUAGUAUAAAUGGACCCAGAAGGGGUCCCCAUUUGAUCUUCCUCGACCUUGAUCUUCGAUUGAUAUCGAUUAUAUACAUCGGCCCGAGUGAAUGUUGGAUACUCGAUCAAAUUUUGCUUCAACUGCUAUGAAGCUAUAAAAUUCCGAGCAUUGAGGCAUUGAGUGAAAGCUUGAACAUCCCAAUCAUCGGUGACCGGUGGCAAAUCCAUUCUUUCCAUUUGGAAUCGAUCACGAAUUCCUUGAGCAUCUCGUUGUCCUUUUGCCUUACCUUGAAAAUGUUUGACUUUCACAUUGCAACCUUAAUGGCUCCGGUAUGUGCCUUUACAAAAGAAUUUGCAAGCAUAGAAAACGAAUCAAUAGAAUUAGGCGGUAAAUUAUGAUACCAUAUCAUGGCACCCUUCGAUAGAGUCUCCUCGAAUUUCUUCAGCAAUACAAACUCAAUUUCGUCAUCUUCCAAGUCAUAUCCUUUGAUGGCGCACGUGUAUGAGGUGACGUGUUCAUUUGGAUUAGUCGUCUCGUUAUACUUAGGAAUCUCAAGCAUACGAAACUUUUUGGGGAUUGGCUUUGGAACCGCACUUGGGGGGAAAUGUAACGACCCGACCGGUAUUUUUGAGAGUUAUAGCCCAUAUCCCCUGUUAACAACUUCCCACAUCUUUUUCUGCUAUUGCAACUUGCUGGGAGGUUUCGUUUUGGUUUUUGGAGUGUUUUAUGACACUUAGUCCCUAAAUAGAGGCUUAAGUCUUAGGAUUUGGACUGUAGUUGAAACUGUGUGAAAAUGACUCCGAAAUGAAGUUCUAUCAAUUUCGUUAGCGCCGUUGUGUGAUUUUGGGCUUUGGGGCGGAUUGGGAUUGUGUUUUGGAGGUCCGUAGCUUAUUUAGGCUUGAAAUGGCAAAAGUCAAAAUUUUGAAGAUUUGUACCGGUAGUGGAAUUUUUUAUAUCGGGGUCGGAUUCUAAUUCCGGAAGUUGGAAUAGGUCCAUAAUGUUGAAUAUGACUUGCGUGCAAAAUUUGAGGUCAUUCAGACGUUGUUUGAUAGGUUUCGGCAUCGGUUGUAGAAAUUUGAAGUUUCUAGUUGUUUAAGUUUGAAUUGGAGGGUGAUUCAUGAUUUAACGUUGUUUGAUAUUAUUUGAGGGCUCGACUAAGUUCUUAUGGUGUUUUAGGAUUGGUUGGUAUGUUUGGUUAAGGUCCCAGGGCCUCGGGUGAGUUUCGGGUGCAUAACAGAUCAAAAGUUGGAUUUGUGUUGUUGCUGAAGUCUUCUGGUAUUUGGUGUUUUCGCACCUGCGGUGGGGAGACCGCAGUUGCAGGAUCGCACGUGCGGAGUGAAGGGCGCAUAUGCGGAGUUUGGAGGCUUGACCAAUGAUCACAGGUGCGAGGGAAGUACUGCAUCUGCGAUGCCCGCAGAUGCGCCUAAGGAAUCGUAGGCAUGGAGGAGGACCGCAGAAGCGUACAGUGUUCCACAUGCCCUUGCCGCAGAUGCGGACCCAGCCCUCAUAAGUGAUUCUCGCACCUGCAAUGGAUUUCCCACAGGUACAGUUGAACGCUCGCAGAAGCAAGUUCACUUGGCAGAAAAGAGAAUUUCGAGGGUUUUAUCCCCUUUUCAAUUUUUGGAGUUGAGAGCUCGGAUAAAGGCGAUAAUUCAAGGAUUUUUAGAGAGAAUUUUGGGGUAAUGAUUCCUAACUCAUUUUUGGUUGUAUUCCAUUAAUCUAUAGUUAAUUUCAUCGUUAAAUUAAGGAAUUUGGGUGAGAGAUUUGGGGAAUUGUGGAAGUUCUUCAACGAAGUUUUUGAGUUUUGAUUGGGAUUUUGAUGUCGGAUUUGGAUAAUUUUGGUAUGAUGAACUCGUGAGUGAAUGAGUGUUCAUAUUUUGUGACCUUUACCUAAUUUUGAGACGUGGGCCCGGGGAGGCUUUUUGAGCGGUUUUCCAAUUUCUUGCUUUAACUUUGAUUUCAUUAGCUAGAUUAGUUCUUUGUAGUUAUAUUUAUGAUAUGUAAUUGAUUUUGGCUAGAUUUGGGCCACUCGAAGCUGGAUGUUCGUGGAAAAGGCAUUGUGACUGAUUGGUCGAUAUUUUAGAUAAUGUUGUGUACCAUAUAUUUGCUCAUGUUCUAUGCAUACAAGAUAACAGGAGCUCAAUGCACAUUGUCGUGAAAUGAAGAUUGUUCUUUUGCAGCAACAAGAAAGUAACUAUCGUUUACCGGUCAUCCUUGUUCAUUAGUGGUUGGGGAGUUCUCUCCAGACUACUAGGUCAAGGGUUCAAUACUGGUACAAACAAUCUCAUAGAAAGUAACUCUCGUUUUAAUUGGUGUUUGUAUAUGACCGUGCUCGAGGACAGUCAUAUGUCUUGCACCUUACCAUAUGCCCCGCUUUUACUAGUCGUGAAUAUCGACAGAUCAGUAGGGUGUUAGUCUAAUUUCAUUUCUAUUGUUAAAAUUUCAGGAAGUAAAAGUAAAAGUUGUUAUAUUAAGAACAAUUGAUCCAUCUACUGAUUCUUGCAUGCCUCUUGGUGAUGAAGCAUGACAUUCCCCUUAUUUAUCUUCAUGUCAAUAUGUUAAUUUUCUCUGUAUGUGUAUAAAGCAAGGGUCCAUUCAUGUCCCAUGUUAAGUCCAAGUGCACCAAUCCCAGCCGAUGUGGGAAACCAGCACCCCUCGCACGUCCACGACCGGACAACUGGAGCGUGGACUAUAUAAGAUGGGGGCCCAAUAUCGGGUGAACAAAGAAAUGGGAUGGGCCUGGCUUUGAUACCAUCUUGAAUUGUGUGAUCAUCUCAUCUAAAAGCUUAAGCUGUUAGAGAGAGCACAGUUUUAUUUACUUAAUUAUGUCUUCAACAUAUAUAUUCUAAAAUUAGUCUUAAUGAUUAGCAGGAUUUCCUAACAGGCAGCCGCUUUCUUCAGGACUAAUUUUGGUGCUUUCAUUGCUGCUAAUAGCUAAUUCUAAAUUUUCUUCUGGAGUAUGUUAUUAUCCUUUGACAUGAGCUGAGUGAAUUUGUAGGAUAGAUUUUAGGAAGCAAAUUUAGCUACCAUGAUCAUGAGACUAAUCUAGGAGUACUAAAGACCAUGGUAAUAUAGGGGAAAGAGAUCUGAAAUAAGCUUUGUUUAAGAGGACCCUGCUCUUCUGAGAUGGAUAAAACUGCAGCUUUUGUCAUCUGCAGUUUGUAUAGCUUGACUUUUUCUUAGAAUUCUUUAUUCAUUCUGCUUUAUCUUUCAAAAUUUUGAUGUUAUAGAAGUUUACAAAUCACCAAGUGAGAAAUGAAAAGUAUUUAAUGCAUUUCUAGUGUAACUCUAUCUGUUAUGUCAUCAACCAUCUAUUUUUAUACUUUGGAACUUUGACCUUUUAGUGUAGUGAAGCAAUUCAAGCAAGGAAUAGCUAAUCCUUGUAGGAAAAAAAUGUCAAGAGCUCGUCACACUUGCAUUGACUUAUAUUUUGGUUCUAUUUGUUGAUUUGCGUCUUUCUAAGCCCACAAUAUCAAGAGUUCAACACAGGUGCAAUGACUUGUACUGUGGUUCCAUUUGUUGUUAUGCAUCUUUCUGAGCCAUUAAAUUGAGGAUGCAAGGUAGAUUUGAGGCGUAGGCCAAGGUAACUUAUUGUACAUUAGUGAAACAAUAUGAAGGAAAACAAAAAAGAAUCCAAGAGGUGCGCAUAUGUAAAGCUUCCAGCUCUAAAUCAACUUAAUGCCCCACAUUUUUGCAGCAUAAUUUGUUGCACAUGGAUCAGCAUGAGAAUUGCUUGUGACUUAUUCUGAACUUUUAUUCUUAACUAGGUAUACCUACUUGAAGUUGCACCGCCCUGCUGUCUAGACAUUGAAAAAUUAAUUUUUUUCCAUAUUCAAUGCUUAAUUUUGAAUGGAAGUGCCUGUUAAAUGUCUUAACUGUAGUUGUUAGGUAACCGGAGCUUGUCUUUAUUUUGUUAAGCAAGACAAACAGUUGCUAAUGGAAGUAAUUUUUGCUACAAAUUAUACAUAAGACCGUGCACUGGAAUAGGCUGCUUCCUAAAUCUACACUUUUGAAUAAGUAAAUCUACAUUGUUUUUACUUGUUAUUACAUAUCAGUGAGGUGUCUUUUCUUUACCAUUGGCCUUUCAGCAGGCGAAAGCUGCUGUUAGGAACAACUAAUCCAUCCCCUACUGAUGACACAGAUCAAAAUGAUGAAGCAUGUUCUUUCCCUGUUCUCAAAAAUUUCACAAUCAGAGAAUUUUCCCUUUAAUUAAUAUACCUGAAUUCGUGUUGGUGGAGGAGAGCAUUAUAGAGAAUUUACUCAACUAUUUAUUUUCUAGACCGAGGAUGUGGUGUUUGACAAGGAACUUCAAGUAAUUUAGGAGUUACUGGAAAAUGCAUAUUGAGAUUUGAGAGCAUUGUUUUAUGGAAAUUGAUUUAAAAAAAUAAUUUAAAAUUGAAAAUGAUUUAUUACACCAAGUUGGUGAGAAGUUAAAUAGGAAAAAUGAAUGAGCUUUAUUCAAGUUCUCUAAUAGGAUACAUGAAAGUUACUUGUGGUGGUAAAAAAAAAUAGAAUUUUUUUAAUAGUACAAUCUUUAAGACUAUAAGAGGAUUAAAGAGAACAUUUAUGUUCUAACAUCUGGUUUUAUUUUAUUUUAUCGUGCAGUUAACAAAAAUAGAAAGGCAUGUCAAUUGUUAACAUCACUCAAACUUUAGAUGAUACAUUUAAGCUACUCAAUUGUUAGCGGUUUAAAAGCAAAAUUGGAUCUCGCUUAGGGACGAGGCACUCGUCGUGUAAACCUUCGCUUCAAAUGUUUUAACGCAAACCCAAAACACCCAGUGCACGAGGCUCGUGUUGACACGAUGCAGUACUUAGCUUCUAGUCCUAAACACAAAUUUAGUGGCUAAUCAUAUAAUAGACCAUUGUAUUUAUUUUUGACCAUUUCUGUAAAAAGUAGCUAGUGGUUCAGCUUGUAUUAGUUAGAGGUUUAUUUUUUAAUGGGCACCCGACCGAGGCCCACUACAUAAAUAUAUGGUGCUGGGUCUAGAAUGAUCCAUCGGGCCAUUUUCUCACAUUUUUAUUUUCUCAAAUUGAGCAAAUUUCCUCUCUUGUUUUGCGAUGAACCCUAAUGAGAUUUCCCUAUUCCUGCUCGAUCUAGAAUGUUGUCAUGGUAUGCCAAGCUGUCCCAGGCUUUAUGUUCUAGGGGUUACACUUAUUCACUCAAUGACUACUCCCUGUUUGUUAAAGGUAGUCCUAGGAUUUUGGUUCUUCUAGUUGUCUCUAUUGAUGAUAUUAUCACUAUUGGGGAUGGUACUGCCGAGAUAAAGAAGCAGUUCCUGUAUUCUCAGUUUAAGAUCAAAGAUCUGGGAUCUUUGCAUUACUUCCUCGGUAUUGAGUUGUGUCUUAUUUCUGGUAGGGUUGUUCUUAAUCAAAAGAAAUUUGUUUCUGACUUGCUUCAGCAGUUUGGAUGUGCUUCUAUCACUCCCGUGGUUUGUCCUUUGGAGUUGAACACCAAAUUGCAUGUUGAUUCAUGUGAUUUACUGCCUGCUCCUGAGUCAUAUAGAAGUCUGGUGGGGAAGCUGCUCUUCCUUACUCUUACUCGACCUAUAUUUGUUUUGAUGUCCACAGCGUAAGCCAAUUUCUGAAGUCUUCUAGGGUCCUUCAUAUGCCUGCUACUCUCCGUGUUCUGAUUUUCCUAUCUUUUCCAUUCAUGCAUAUUCAAACAAUGAAUAGGCUGCUUACCCAGACACCAGGAGGUGACUGAGUUUUAUGUAUUCUUGGGUGGUAGUCUCAUAAGUUGAAAAUCCAAGAAGCAGCAUAUUGUUUCUUUAUUUUCCGCUGAGGCUGAAUACAUGGCUCUAAGUAAGAUGGUUGAUGAGUUGACUUGGCUCUCCAGGCUCUUGGUUGAUUUUGUUGUUCCUGUUUUGCUUCAAAUUUCUAUUUUUUGUGACAAUCAGGCUGCUUUGCAUAUAGCCAAAAACCAUGUGUUCCAUGAAAGGAUCAAGCACAUUGAGAUCGAUUGUCAUUUCAUAUGGGCUAAGCUUGGUAAUGGCUUGAUUUAGUUGUCUCAUGUUUCUACCACCAAGCAGUUAACUGAUGUGCUCACCAAGCCUUUGCCUGGUAAUCUUUAUCAACAAUUCUUGUCCAAGUUGCAGGUCAUCACUUGUUUUACAAGUUGAUUAUGUGUUCCGAGGCAAUAAAAACCUCUUUCUGUCUCAUCUUGAUUUGCGUGCGCAGUCUGGGCACGUUUUUGAAUUUUUUUUUUAAGUGAAAACUAUGUAAAAUAUCAAAAUUGGCUUUUAAAAUUGAUAUAAAGUUCACUUUGGUCAAUAUUCUUGGUAAACGGAUCCGGACCCGUGAUCCGAUGGUCUGAUAGGGUCCGCAGAAAAAUUUGGGACUUGGGCAUAUGUCCGAAAUCGAAUUUCGAGGUCCCAAGCCCGAGAAAUGAAUUUUUAAAGAACAUUAUUUUCUGGAAAACAUAAAGGUUUUUAUGAGUGAAUUGAUGCAUUUUCUUGAUGGUAUCGGCCCCGUAUCUUGGUUCGGGAGCCCGAUACAAGUUUGAAAUAAUAAUUAGGAUGAAUAUGUAAAAUUUGGUAAAGAUAAGAAUUGGUUUGGUAUAAAACGGACCUAAAGUUGAGAAAUUGGAAAAUUUGAUGUUCUUGAGUGAUUUCAUGAAUUUGGGGUUUAUUUCAUAGUUGUUGAUGUUAUUUUGGUUAUUUGAUCGCGCGAGCAAGUCCUUAUGAUAUUUUUAGGUUAGGGUGCAUGUUUGGUUUGGAGCCCCGAGAGAUCGAGUGAGUUUUGGAUAGACCACAGAGUGAAAUUGGACUUAGAAAAAUUGUUAGUGUGUUGUGCGAGAUCAGGCAUGACAAUUGCGAUGCAAGCAGGGGUCACAAAUGCGGUGAUUUUGUCGCAAAUGCAAAGAUCCCAAGGCCAGACAAUUCUCGCAAAUGCAAGUUAUACUUCGCAAAUGCGAAGUCUUCAGUGCAUGCCCAGAAGUCGCAAAUGCAACGAUUCUUUCGCAAAUGCAGCGGAAGCAGGAGUCGCAAAUGCGACAUAUACCUCGCAAAUGCGAAGGUAGCAGGGUCCUUAAGGGUUUGCAAUUGCAAACCUUGGUCGCAAUUACAAUAUCAGAGACCUGUUAAAUGAAUUUCAGACGGGAUUUCAACCAUUUUUACAACUUUCUUAAAACUGGACGAUUUUCGAAAAAAAAGUUCUUCUCCAAAUCAGUUGUAAGUCAUUUCUAACUCAUUUUCUUUAAUCUAUAACAUCUUUUCACAUGAUUUCAAUCCAAAAUCAAGGGUUUUCAUAAGGGAAAUUGUGUGUUUUGGGUAGAACUUAGGAUUUUCAAAGUUUGGGAAUUUGGACCUCGAUUUGAGGUUCGAUUUCAAAACAAAUUAUAUAUUUGAGUUCGUGGGUGAAUCGUAAUCGGAUUUUGAUUCGAACCUCGGGUUUUGACUAUGUGAGCCCGGGGUCGAUUUUUGACCUUUUGGGGAAAUCUUUAGAAAACCUAUUUUCAUGCAUUAGAAUUGAUUCAUUUAGUAUUUAUUGAUAUCGUUAAGUAAAUUGUGGCUAGAUACAAGCAAAUUGGUGGUGGAAACAAGAGGUAAAACAAUUGUUGAGGCUUGAAUUGUGUUUGUGGCAUUGAAGUAAGUGUUUGACCUAAUCUUAGCUUGAGGGAAUAGGUAUUGUGCCUUAUUUGCUAUGUGCUUGUGUAGUGUACGAUGUAUAGGUGUGGUGACGAGUAUCUAUACGUCGUUGUCAAACAUGUCCGUGAGUCUUAAAUUGUAAUCGUUGUGUUCUUUCUAAAUACUAUAAAUGCCUAAGUUGUUGAUUUUCUAUAUUGGGCAAGAAUUAUAAUUAUCCUCGUGGUAUUUGGUUGUUGUUGAGUAUUGGUUCCAGUUGAGGUUUCACUUGUGAAAUUAAAUGUUGGUAUAAGUUUGGUUAUAGCUGAUUCCCUUGCCGGGACAUAUUUAAUUCUUACCGUUGGUUCCCUUGCCGGGAUGUGCUUAUUCUCAUUGUUGAUUCCCUUGUCGGGACAUUGUUGUUUCCUUAUUGUUCCCUUGCCGGAAUUCAUUUGUGAUUAGUGUUGAAUUGUAUAUUAAGAUCGGGUUGCACACCGCAAUAAUAUUAUAUGGGAUCGGGUUGCACACCGCAAUAAUAUUAUAUGGGAUCGGGUUGCAUGUCGCAACAAUGAUAUAUGAUUGGAUCGGGUUGCACGCCACAACAAUGAUAUAUGAUUGGAUCGGGUUGCACGCCGCAACAAUGAUAUAAGAUUGGAUCGGGUUGCACGCCGUAACAGUGUUAUAUGAUUGGGAUCGGGUUGCGCGCCGUAACAAUAAAUAAUAAAAGUGGAUAUUGAUUUGUUACUGUUUCCUUAUUCUUACUGAUGCAAACCUUAAAAUAUUCUUUAUGCUUUUCUCCUAAGUUACUGUUAUUAAUUGAUAUUUUCCCGCAGUAUGUUUUCCCUUCCCGUCUUUAACUACUAGUUUUCGUUAUUAUUUCUUGCCAUAUAUGCUCUAACUGCACAUGUUUAUUUGGUAGUUGUGUCCUAGCCUCGUCACUACUUCGUCGAGGUUAGACUCGACACUUACCAGCAUAUGGGGUCGGUUGUGCUGAUAUUACACUCUGCAUUGUGUGCAGAUCCCGGUGCUGGAGUAUUUGGAGAUUCGAGUAGUCCUGCAAGCGUUCGCAAGCCUUGGCGUCCCCUCCCUAUCUAGUUUCUUUCUGUUCUUUUAUAUUCCAAAGAUAGACAUGUACUUUCUUGUUUAGACUUUAUUUGUAGUUUUCUUAGAUAGACCGUGAGAUUGUGACACCAGUUCUGGGUGGUUUAUGUUAUAGAUUCGUAUUGGUAUUGGCUUAAUUGUCGAAUUUCAUUCUUCCGCUUAUUUAAUUUCCGCUGUUAUAAAAUGUUAAUUUACAACUGUUAAGGGAUUUAAAAGGAAAAUGGUUAAAUAUUUGGAAUAAUCGGCUUGCCUAGCUUUCACUAGUAGGUGUCAUCACGACUCCAGAGGGUGAGAUAUCCGGAUCGUGACAAGUUGGUAUCAGAGCUCUAGGUUGCUUAGGUCUCACAAUUCACUGACAAGCUUGGUAGAGUCUGAGGGAUCGGUAGAGAGACGUCUGUGCUUGUCCCCUAGAGGCUGUAGAGUUAGGAACAGUUUCACUUCUAUUCAUGUCUGUUGUGCGGUUUGGUUUGUCAAUGCUAAUUGAAUUUCUACUCUGUUCUUUCGCAGAUGGCGAGAACACGCGCUUCCUCAUCCACUGAUUAGCAGCCUGAGCCCCCAACAACAGCUUCUCAUCUACUAAUUAGCAGAGCUCAGCCUAGAGCAACAGCACUAGCGGCGGAGCCUCAGGUUGAGUUUGAUGAUGAGGUUCCGGCCUAGACAGUUCCAGUGGGCCCAGCUCAGGUCCCAGAGGGGUUCAUUGCUACCCCAGAACUCUAAGAUGCUCUGGUCUGUCUAGUGGGCCUUAUGGAGAGUGUCACCC